CAAACUGCCAAGCCUGAGUGCAGGACUCUCAUCUGUAAAGAGGAGACUUUGCCUCUUCCCUCAGGAUCUGUCUACUGAACCUCGGGUUUAGACCCAGAUUCCUUGUGUUUAUUCCCAGAAGAUGCAUCUGUGGCUCCAGGUGGGUGCGUUUUACAAGGAUCUUCAUUCCGAGUCCUGAGAUUGUCCAUGUGGACCCGGGUGGUUGUCUCAGCACAGGAGACCCCGUUGUCCACAGGGAAGAGACCCCUGUGGAGACCACAGACAGCAAAGCGCCCUGUGCUACACUGCACUUACCCUAUGUCCACACUUCUCCUGUGCAGCUGCUUUAGUGACUAAAUCACGGUAGGAGGGGAACUGUAAUUAACUAUACCACAGAAUAAUGAGAGAGUGUGGGAGAAGUUAUCAAUCUGUGACCUCUCACUCCCUCUCUGACCUUCACUCACACUUAUGAGCUGAGAAGGUGAGGGACAUGAAUGUGUGGGACAGUGGAUCUGAUAACCGAGCUGGCCCCAGAGUUCCUCAGGCCUGAGCAGUGUGGACAUUGGAGGAAAGAUGAUUCUCAGGCCAGAGAGCACACGCUGGUGAUGUGAGGUUUCAUCCCUGGUCAGUAGUGUGGGGAAAGAUUAAAUUUACACCUUUCUUGAUUCUGUGGAUCUCUCCAAAUCGCAGCCACAGAACUGAAGUGGAAAGAAGAGGAGAGAUGGGUGGGGGCUCCUGAAGAGAGUCACCCAUAACUCAGAGUAACAACUGUGGUGACCACUGGUGUGAACUCCAGUCCCCUCCCCAUGCAGGUCUCCACAGC
RNAcentral lists this long non-coding RNA (802 nucleotides) under Rattus norvegicus (Norway rat). RNAcentral describes it as "long non-coding RNA NONRATT017002". The record is from RNAcentral. Lineage: Eukaryota; Metazoa; Chordata; Mammalia; Rodentia; Muridae.